GGAUUAGCAGGCCAAUUACCAAGCCAGCAGGUCCCCUACCCACCCCCAGGGGACUCCAAGGAGGUAACCUGAGGACAUCACAAUGAGUACUAUUUGUGAAGUGCUUCAGUUUACACUGGGUUUGCAGGUGACACUUUGCCACAGCCUUGUGAGGUGAACAUACAUACGUCUGUUCCAAGAGAGACAGUGGGUCCCAGCCAGGUCUCCCAGGGACGCUGGAGUGAGAGAACCCUAGGGCUGGACCCUAGUCCCAACACACACAAGCCGUGCAAGCUUGUGUCAGAUUCAUCGUCUCCAAGCUUCUGUUUUCCUCAUUUACAAAAUGGACCUCAUAGCCACCCGGCAGGUGCAGGAGGAUCUGGAUGUGAACCUGAAACGUGUAGGCCUGGAAGUGCCAUCCACCUUCUUGCUGCUACAUGGAGACUGAGCAUGAGGCCCCCAUGGAGGAGAGGAGGCCUGAGAGAGGAAGAGAGAUGCGUCCUGAGGACAUCAGACCCCUCCCUCCAGCAAGUUCUACCCCAGGUGUUUAAACUGCAUGGACCAAUGUAUUCUUUUGGGGUGGA
Sus scrofa (pig) is the source of this 563-nucleotide long non-coding RNA. RefSeq lists it as uncharacterized. Lineage: Eukaryota; Metazoa; Chordata; Mammalia; Artiodactyla; Suidae. The record is from RefSeq and is a predicted model, not a curated record.